This 274-nucleotide ribosomal RNA is filed under the name uncultured bacterium. RNAcentral's name for it is "partial 16S ribosomal RNA". It matches the Rfam family "Bacterial small subunit ribosomal RNA", at positions 523 to 796 of the family's 1533-position model. The record is from RNAcentral.
AUACGAAGGGGGCUAGCGUUGUUCGGAUUUACUGGGCGUAAAGCGCACGUAGGCGGAUUGAUUAGUUAGGGGUGAAAUCCCGAGGCUCAACCUCGGAACUGCCUUUAAUACUGUCAAUCUCGAGACCGGAAGAGGUGAGUGGAACUCCUAGUGUAGAGGUGGAAUUCGUAGAUAUUAGGAAGAACACCAGUGGCGAAGGCGGCUCACUGGUCCGGUACUGACGCUGAGGUGCGAAAGCGUGGGGAGCGAACAGGAUUAGAAACCCUGGUAGUCC